CACGCACAGUUGUUUUUUUUUUCUCUCCCACCGACCGUCUCUCUCUCUCCUUGCUGCACUUUUUCCGGCCACCAGCACCAUGCACGCGCCGGCCGACGAGGAAGCCCACAGCUGGGCGACACCGGCAAUCAAAUUUCCGGCCGAAUGGCCAGCCGACGCGCCGGGAUCGGCCUCCAUAGCCCGCGGUCGGUGUGCCGCUGGUUCGGCCAUUUUCCGGCAACCACCGGUCGUGCAGCCGGUCCUUUCCCACUAAUUUGGACCCUCUGAGUCCGAUUCUGAGCUCCAAUUAACUCAACUCCCGUCGAUUUGCAAGAUACGAAGGGAUUAAAACCGGCCGAACCUUUCCGACCAAAUUCCGGCCACCUCCGGCGGAAUUGGGGUCGAUGGAGACCGGUAAUGCACUCCUCGUUCCACGAGCUUCGAUUCGGUAUAUCAUUCAACCAUUUUGGUUAAAGUUUGUGUUUGACCCCCGGGUACCGGGUAUUAUUUACCCAAUUAAAAUAUUAAUUUAUUUGACUAUCUGUGAAUUUUGUUCUACGAGCACCGGUGAGUCGUAGAAUUGAUCCCGUGGUGGAUCUUGGAUUAAUUGCGUGCUCCAGGUGAGUGACCCACCUUCAAUUUAAUUUUGGGAAUUUAAUUGGUGAAUAUAUUAUGUGUGAUUUAAAUAUUUGGAAUUUAAUUUCUAUGUGCCAAAUAUUUAUUUGAUUUAUUGUGGAUUUAUUGGUGAAUUUAUUGGAUUUAAGAAAAUGUGUAUUCUAUAAAUUUAUGCCAUGUGAAAUUAUUUUAUGGUUUUGAGAAUUUUGAAAUUCUUGUGGUUUUAAUAUUAAAUUGGGCAUGAUUUGAUUUUCAAAUAUUUCAAGGAAAAUAUUUGGUUAUGUUGGUGAUUUCAAUUUUUAUAAAAUAUGCCCAUGGAAUAUUAUGAGAUUUAAUUAUUAUAUUUCGAGAAUUAUUUAUGCUAUUGGGAAAAUGUGGAUAUUUGAAUUGGUGGAUUUGGGAGUUGGUGGAUUUGAAAAUCAUGGAAAUUAUGGUAUUGAUUAUAAAAAAAAUUGUGGAGAAUUUCCCGGUUCAAGCGGAUGGACUAUGCCAGCUGUGUUUAUGCAAAAUGUGAAAAUUGUUAUAUAAAUUAAAUAUGUGGAUUUUAUGAUUUUUAGAUGCACCGUGCACGUACUGGUGUUCUGUUUAUAUGUGAUAUGGUUAGUGUGCACACGGUUGUGAUUAGCGCGCAGGUGGGUGUGAGUAGCGCGCGGUUGAUAUUAUGAGGUUGUCCUGUGGUUGCCAUUGGAUGAGGGUAGGCCACCCCCCUUAGCCGGGACACCAGGUUAGCAGCGGCGCAGUGGAACGCCACGCGACCGUAUGCCGGUUUCUUUCUAUAACCUCCUGACUGGCGGUACCUCGGGACGCUGGGUACUGUUGGCGCCACUGGUAUAUAGUCCAGGUUGGAGACGUUGAUUGUCUGGGGCGAGCCCAACGUCUCAGUUCGUUGCCGAAGGUUCAAGAAGUUUUUCUUCCCUUUUUCCUCUCUGUCUUGUUUUGUUUCUUUAUCUGUCAUUUUAUAAAUUUCACAUGUUUCUGUAUAAUGCUCUGUAUACUGUAUUGGACGUGUGGUUGUUAUUUAUGCACUGGGUUGCUGCUGUUGUUUUA
Molecule: long non-coding RNA, 1641 nt
Organism: Ziziphus jujuba (common jujube)
Lineage: Eukaryota; Viridiplantae; Streptophyta; Magnoliopsida; Rosales; Rhamnaceae
Exons: 2
Source: RefSeq, a predicted model, not a curated record